This is a long non-coding RNA of Clupea harengus (Atlantic herring), 360 nucleotides long. The record is from Ensembl. NCBI's taxonomy places the organism in Eukaryota, Metazoa, Chordata, Actinopteri, Clupeiformes, Clupeidae.
CUCUGACAUGAGAGAAGUGGAGUCCAGAGUGGAGACCAGCGAGAGGCAGUCACAGCAGCACCAGAAAAAGAUCACCCAGCUGGGAAUGAAGAUGGAGGUUGCGCAGAUGCUGCUGCAGGCCAGCAAGAAACAGGUGGACAGACUCCAGGAGGAAAACACAGUCCAAGCUUCUGAGCUCCGGGACCUUGCCAUGAGGUCAAAUUCCACUGAAGGCCUAGUUGAGGAACAGCAGACUGCUUGGGGAACACUGGAAUAUGAAACACAGACACUGAAGAAAGAAAAUGCAGUCCAAGCGACUCAACUGAGAAACAUGGAGGCCAAGUUGAAGGCUGCUGAAAACCAGCUGGAGCAAGUGAAGAC